Cucumis melo (muskmelon) is the source of this 855-nucleotide long non-coding RNA. RefSeq lists it as uncharacterized. The transcript is spliced from 2 exons. The record is from RefSeq and is a predicted model, not a curated record. NCBI's taxonomy places the organism in Eukaryota, Viridiplantae, Streptophyta, Magnoliopsida, Cucurbitales, Cucurbitaceae.
CCUGAACAAGUUGUAAAGUACCAUCAGCCAUUAAAGAUUCACAACCAAACACCAUAGUAUAUCUCACCCGAUGACCUGAGAUUAGAUGAAUGACUAAUUUAGUAAGAUCUACAUUGUUAUUUCAUUCUUUUUUUACCAAUAUCAUGAAUGAUUACUCCUCAAAGGUUUACACUUUAACCAGAUUGCAAGAUGUCAGUGUCUACAAGCUAAAGUAGAUGAUUACUCUCAGUUCUAGGAAUAUAUGCAAGAUGAAGAACAUGAACUUGAUGUAAAAGGGAUCGCAGCCGCAAGGGCCUGAAAUUUGGGCAACUUCAGGUUCACAUCGGGAGCUACCUCUGCAAGAUAUCCAUCCACUAGAUUGGCCACCAUUGUCAUCGGGGUCAGUGUAUCCGUUCCGCUGACCAUCUGUCCCUCCUCAAUUAUGCAAGGAGAAGAUGCAAUUGGAGCAUGGUAUAUCGACAUAAAAUGGUCCAGAAUUCUCUGAAUGCAAUCGAUAUCGUAAAGAGUUUCCACUGUAUAUCCCAUGUUAGGUAUGAGCAGAUCAACAAGCAAAGCUUGAUCCAAUUGACUGCCUAUUUUUUUCUCCAAACUUUCCCUACAUGAUGGACUAGCAUGCAAAAUCAUAGCAGUUCUAAGAAGCCUAAGUAGAAAGUUGGUUGUGGUGACACCCUUUGCACUCGGUAGUAAGCCCACAAGCUCCUCAAGUAGGAGUCGUUGAUCUACCUCAGAAUUUGUAGAAGCUGUGAUUCCUGACGCAACAUGAUUCAUAUCAUUGAAACUCGAUUGAUUGUUGAUUAAGGGGAUAUUCUUCUUAGCAUAGUGUAUUAAUGAUGCAGCUAUAUUCUCAGAUUUCAA